UACGGAGGGAGCUAGCGUUGUUCGGAAUUACUGGGCGUAAAGCGCGCGUAGGCGGCUUUUUAAGUCAGGGGUGAAAUCCCGGGGCUCAACCCCGGAACUGCCCUUGAAACUGGAUGGCUAGAAUACUGGAGAGGUGAGUGGAAUUCCGAGUGUAGAGGUGAAAUUCGUAGAUAUUCGGAAGAACACCAGUGGCGAAGGCGACUCACUGGACAGUUAUUGACGCUGAGGUGCGAAAGCGUGGGGAGCAAACAGG
RNAcentral lists this ribosomal RNA (253 nucleotides) under uncultured bacterium. RNAcentral describes it as "partial 16S ribosomal RNA". It matches the Rfam family "Bacterial small subunit ribosomal RNA", at positions 524 to 776 of the family's 1533-position model. The record is from RNAcentral.